GGCCUUCAUGAUCGCGCCGGUGCCCCCUUCAGGGGGCUUAAUAGGGAAUGCGGUGAUGAAUCCGCGGCUGUCCCUGCAACUGUAAGCGGCGAGCGAGACGCAUAGCGAUCCUCCGCACAUGCGGCAGGAUCAGCCACUGGGCCGGACGCUAAGUCAUGCGAGGCCUGGGAAGGCCAUGCGCCAAGCCGUGACCCGCGAGCCAGGAAACCUGCCUGCGUCUGGUCGCUCUU
RNAcentral lists this non-coding RNA (230 nucleotides) under Sphingobium indicum. The record is from RNAcentral. Lineage: Bacteria; Pseudomonadati; Pseudomonadota; Alphaproteobacteria; Sphingomonadales; Sphingobiaceae.